UCUCCGUAGGUGAACCUGCGGAGGGAUCAUUACAAGUGACCCCGGUCUUACCACCGGGAUGUUACUAACCCUUCGUUGUCCCGGGCUGUUGCCUCCGGGGCGACCCUGCCUUCGGGCGGGGGCUCCGGGUGGACACUUCAAGCUCUUGCGUAACUUUGCAGUCUGAGUAAACUUAAUUAAUAAAUUAAAACUUUUAACAACGGAUCUCUUGGUUCUG
This 217-nucleotide unclassified non-coding RNA is filed under the name plant metagenome. RNAcentral describes it as "partial contains small subunit ribosomal RNA, internal transcribed spacer 1, and 5.8S ribosomal RNA". The record is from RNAcentral.